GACGAACGCUGGUGGCGUGCUUAACACAUGCAAGUCGAACGGAAAGGCCCUGCUUUUGUGGGUGCUCGAGUGGCGAACGGGUGAGUAACACGUGAGUAACCUGCCCUUGACUUUGGGAUAACUUCAGGAAACUGGGGCUAAUACCGGAUAGGAGCUCCUGCUGCAUGGUGGGGGUUGGAAAGUUUCGGCGGUUGGGGAUGGACUCGCGGCUUAUCAGCUUGUUGGUGGGGUAGUGGCUUACCAAGGCUUUGACGGGUAGCCGGCCUGAGAGGGUGACCGGCCACAUUGGGACUGAGAUACGGCCCAGACUCCUACGGGAGGCAGCAGUGGGGAAUAUUGCACAAUGGGCGGAAGCCUGAUGCAGCAACGCCGCGUGCGGGAUGACGGCCUUCGGGUUGUAAACCGCUUUCGCCUGUGACGAAGCGUGAGUGACGGUAAUGGGUAAAGAAGCACCGGCUAACUACGUG
RNAcentral lists this ribosomal RNA (467 nucleotides) under uncultured bacterium. RNAcentral's name for it is "partial 16S ribosomal RNA". It matches the Rfam family "Bacterial small subunit ribosomal RNA", at positions 28 to 507 of the family's 1533-position model. The record is from RNAcentral.